AUGUGUUGGGUCAGCUGGGUCACCGUUGACUCCCCCAGGCCAACCAUUAUAAGAAAGAGAAUUACAAGUCUGUCUUACCAGGGGAGAAUGGAUGUCAGGAACCUGAUUUCUAUAUUCCCCUUGAUGCUUAAAAAACUCUGCUCUCAUGCCGGACAUUCAGAGGACAUUGAAGAAAAUUUCAAAGGGAGUAAAAUGUUUAUUUGUUUUAAGCCUUGCUCAGUAAUCCACUUAUGCUAUUUACAUUAGUUAAAGAACCUUUCCAUGUAAACACCAUUAAUUAUGUAGUAUAAGAGCCAAAUAAAAAUGCUAAAAAAUAAAAGUAAUUGUAGAAUAAAUUAGUAUAGCUUGAGUGCACAUAUAUUAUACAGAGACUGCAGUCUUUUACAUUUUAUCAAGGGAGGUGGAUUUGUGAUUUUCUAUUGUCUGAGCUACUAGGAUGGAACCAAGAGAAAUGACAUUUUUACAGAUGGAUACCAAAGCUGUUAAAGUUUAAACCCGUAUCAGCAAUGAAAUUAUGGUUUUCACAGGAGCCUGGACUCAUCCUGCCUCUCUAUAUCUGUCUUGAAAAGACUAUGGGAGGAGAUGUGGAUUGGGUGUCCUAUGGAUUUCCCCAGAAGGUUUGCUGGAGCAGAACCUGACUGUCUACCUCUAAUUGGUACACUCCAGGACUUCUUGAAUGUGGUAACAGAAGACGGCCUAUGCCUGGGCAAAGGGCAGUGGAUGGUGUGCAGUCUGCCAGGCUCAAAAAAGGGCAGAGACUGACGCUGCUGAGGAAAUCUGGUCUGGGCACCAUGUAGUAACGAUGACAGGAUACAUGUGUUUACCUUUUGUAGUAUUUUGGAAGUUUUUGUGUAUGUGAUUUAUUUUGAUCCAUCACAAGAAUUCUGUAACAUAGGUGGGGCAUGUAUUUUUACCAAGCCCAUUUUCUAGGAAAUUCUUGCUUGGGGAAGAACACAAUGAAGCAUGGAUUGAAAAACAUGUUCUAAUUCUUAUUUGUAUUUUUCUUUUCCACUACCACAAUUCAUAUUUCUUUUUAAAUGUAAAUGAAAAAAACAUGGUUCAGUGUAUAGCAAUAUUUUGUGCUAUGUGGCAUCUUUUAAGAACAUUUGAGUGCAUUUACAUCAUUUCCUCAGGGAAAGCUUUGUUUUACCUAGAGAAGCAGGAAAUGGAUUUGAAAUGGGAAAAGUUUUUCAGUUUUAUGGAUUAAACCCAUCUGUUAUGUUCACUAAACCUCGAUCAUGGAAGAGAAUAGAUUUCUCAGAACAUAAAGAGAGGAGAGAGGAGUAAAAAGUGCUUCCUUCGUUCCCUGCUUCCUAUCUACACCUAUCCAGGGAGCCCUGUACAGACAAAAUGGGGUAGCCAGCCCAGCUGUCAGAAAGAAACAUGCCCCGACACAGUGAGCAGUCUUCCAAAGAGUUGAAGUUAACACUUAUUGCUUAAAAGAAUUCUGAGGUAUACUUUUUUCCCACUGCUUUCAGCAUCUUUUAGAAAUAUGUUUAAAUAUUUUGCUAAAUUAUCUACUAUAUCUGCAUAACACAAAGUAAAGGGAAAUUAUCUUUCAUUCAUUUAUUCAGAAUAAUGCUUACUGAAUAUGUACUACAUGCCAAUGUUGGGCACUAGAACUUUGGGAGUGAACCCAGUAGACAUGCCCCUUGGUAUAAUGGAAUUCACAAAGUGGGGGAGAAGGGUGUUAACCAAAUGAUCUCAUCAAUAAAUAUUUACUGAUCUUGACUGCAGAAGUCCUUUUAUAUAGACAGCAAGACUAGUAGCUGGUUAGGUGGUUGGGAAAUGCAGGCAGAAGGAGUGUGUGUGUAUAUGUAUACACAAACAUAACAGUUUUAUUUUUUACUUAGAAUGCAUAAACGAAUGUUUAUUUGCCGAAUUUGGUAGGGCUCAGGUGCUUUCUUUGAGGAUCAGUCUGAUAACUGAAGGUUAACAUCAUCUUUCUUGCAUAAAGCCCACUCAAAAUGUAUAUAAUCUAUAAUUUCCAGUUUCAAACACAUUAGAGGGAGAACUUAAAGACACUUGUGAAGUAAUUUGAAUUCAUUUAGAACUUAUUAUUUUUCCCCAAUCUUUUAUACUUAUCUUGCCUACAAUUUAAGAGCAAUUUUCCCCCAGUUUUUUCAAGUCUU
Molecule: long non-coding RNA, 2132 nt
Filed under: Capra hircus (goat)
Lineage: Eukaryota; Metazoa; Chordata; Mammalia; Artiodactyla; Bovidae
Description: lncRNA (ENSCHIG00010016387.1)
Source: RNAcentral